GCUGCAGCCGGUGCCGCUGCCACUCCCGGGAGCAUGAAGGACCGAACCCAGGAGCUCCGCACGGCCAAGGACAGCGAUGACGAUGACGACGUCACUGUCGCCGUGGACCGAGACCGCUUCAUGGACGAGUUCUUCGAGCAGGUGGAGGAGAUCCGGGGCUUCAUUGACAAGAUCGCGGAGAACGUGGAGGAGGUGAAACGGAAGCACAGCACCAUCCUGGCCUCCCCCAACCCCGACGAGAAGACAAAGGAGGAGCUGGAGGAGCUCAUGUCCGACAUCAAGAAGACGGCCAACAAAGUGCGGUCCAAGCUAAAGAGCAUUGAGCAGAGUAUCGAGCAGGAGGAAGGCCUGAACCGCUCCUCGGCCGACCUGAGGAUCCGGAAGACACAGCACUCCACCCUGUCCAGGAAGUUUGUGGAGGUCAUGUCCGAGUACAACGCCACGCAGUCCGACUACCGGGAGCGCUGCAAGGGCCGCAUCCAGAGGCAGCUGGAGAUCACCGGCCGGACCACGACCAGCGAGGAGCUAGAGGACAUGCUGGAGAGUGGGAACCCCGCCAUCUUUGCCUCCGGGAUCAUCAUGGACUCCAGCAUCUCCAAGCAGGCUCUGAGCGAGAUCGAGACGCGGCACAGCGAGAUCAUCAAGUUGGAGAACAGCAUCCGCGAGCUGCACGACAUGUUCAUGGACAUGGCCAUGCUGGUGGAGAGCCAGCCUCAGGCUGCUUUCCUGAAGUCCUGCCCGAGCCCCCACCCCAAGGCCAAGGAGGAAACCCCCUGGAGCUCGCCUGCCUUCGGCCCCCCAGGGGGAGAUGAUUGACAGGAUCGAGUACAACGUGGAGCACUCGGUGGACUACGUGGAACGGGCUGUGUCUGACACCAAGAAGGCGGUCAAGUACCAGAGCAAGGCGCGCCGGAAGAAGAUCAUGAUCAUCAUCUGCUGCGUCGUCCUGGGCAUUGUCAUCGCCUCCACCUUCGGAGGCAUCUUCGGGUAGACACCGCCCCCCUGCCGCCCCGCCCCGAAGGGCCGUGCUGAGGAGGCCCUGGCUGCCGGCCGCCCCACCUUCUGGCUCACAGCCUCCUCCCUCCCACCCCCUUCUGCUCCUCUCUGCCCUGGGCUGUGUCGUGUGCAUGUUCUUUGUGACAGUGCGUGUCUGUACGGGGAGGCAGACGGGAGCUGGGCUGUGGCAGGGGCGGCCCGGGGCAGACUCAGGCCCUGGCCCAGGCCGCCCCGCCCCGCCCCAAAGAGACAGGGCUGCCUGGUAGCACCUGCUACCCCUCCUCACCUGGGACCCAGGCUCUGUCUGGACCUAGCCUUGCCCAUCUGCCCUGUCCUCUCCAGCUGUCCCCCAAGCCAAGCCCCCUGAGGGGUGGGGACCAGCUGGCCAUGGUGCUGCUUUUCAGGUUAGGGGAGGGGUGGCCCAGAGGGACAACCCAGCUCUGAGCCUCUAUCAGCUGACCACUGCCACAAGGCUCAGGGAGCUGUGGCCGCUGACCGGGUGGAGGCCAGGGUUUCCCCCCAACCCAGGGGCAAGGCCCAACAGCUUCCCCGCCCACAUCCCUGCAGCCCCGGGAGCUAAAGCACCCCUUCGGGCUAGGCCUGACCCCAGAUGACCCGUGCAGAGGCUGGUGGUCAGGCCUGUGCCCAGGCGUCCCCAGCAGGCCUCAAGCCAUGCUGCAUGUUCGGGACAGCAGUCCCUGUGCCCGCGUGCUCUAGGUCAGAUGUCCCUUGAGGCCUGCAGUCUCAUCCCGCCCUGCUGUCCCCGCUGAUGUGCCAUGUGGGUGUCAGAUGUCCUAGACACAGUAUUCAGCAGUGGGGGGAGGGGCUGCUCUCCCCUCCCUGCCCACCUGGAGUCAGAGUGGGGCCCCACCCCCGAGAGCCCUGCCACGGGCAGGGGUGUGCUGGGGCCGCAUCCGCCCUCCAGAAUUCCCGCGCUUGGCUCCUGCCGUGACCGUGACCACAACAGCCACUUCCCACCCCCUUCACCAAAGGUCUUGGUACAACCAGCUGCCCAUUUUGUGAGGUUUUUAUGUAGAAUAAACAUUUGUAUCUGUACCAGGCCUGGAUCCCCUCUCUGCGGCGUCAUGCUCAGAGCUCUUGUGACACCAGGGGGAAGGGGCUCCGAGCUGAAGAAUCCCACCCACAAAAGCUCUCCACGGCCGCGGGCUCAGCUCCGGCCACGCAGUAGAUAAACACAGGCUUUUCUGCGGGCCCAGGCCCAACACUGCGCUCACCGCAGUCACACGGCCAGAGCAUCCGCUGAACGCAAGGCCUGUGCCUGACAGCUGGGGAGACCCAGGCCCGGGAGCCCCACCCCAGGCCCAGCGUUGUCGCUCCAGGCAAAGCGAGGUGCUUGUCACAUGUCAUCUCCCUUCCCCCACGCCCAGGAGUCUCAAGUGACCCGAGACCCCUCACCAGCCUGCUUAGAGCCCCCCAGAGCAGGACUGCCCUUCUGAGCACUGGGGACAUGACAGGGGACAGGAAAGCCUCCCCCCAGGGGAAGCACCC
Molecule: RNA transcript, 2505 nt
Organism: Lepus europaeus (European hare)
Lineage: Eukaryota; Metazoa; Chordata; Mammalia; Lagomorpha; Leporidae
Gene: STX1A
Gene name: syntaxin 1A
Exons: 10
Source: RefSeq, a predicted model, not a curated record